UACAGAGGGUGCAAACGUUGUUCGGAAUUACUGGGCGUAAAGCGCGUGUAGGCUGCUUGGAAAGUCGGAUGUGAAAGCCCUGGGCUUAACCCAGGAAGCGCAUUCGAUACUUCCAAGCUCGAGUCCUGGAGAGGGUGGCGGAAUUCUCGGUGUAGAGGUGAAAUUCGUAGAUAUCGAGAGGAACACCGGUGGCGAAGGCGGCUACCUGGACAGUGACUGACGCUGAGACGCGAAAGCGUGGGGAGCAAACAGG
RNAcentral lists this ribosomal RNA (253 nucleotides) under uncultured bacterium. Its description in RNAcentral is "partial 16S ribosomal RNA". It matches the Rfam family "Bacterial small subunit ribosomal RNA", at positions 524 to 776 of the family's 1533-position model. The record is from RNAcentral.